Long non-coding RNA from Dreissena polymorpha, 1321 nucleotides. RefSeq lists it as uncharacterized. Lineage: Eukaryota; Metazoa; Mollusca; Bivalvia; Myida; Dreissenidae. The transcript has 4 exons. The record is from RefSeq and is a predicted model, not a curated record.
GGGUCAACUAUGGCCGACGUUGGUUUUUCAAUACUCUGAGAAAUAAGUGAUUUUUUUUAAGUGAUUGCAUAUUAAAAAAAGGAUUCUGGAUAGUAAAAUAAAGUAUAUAAAUGCCUGUGGCUGACGUGGGUAAGCGAGGGCCAUUUGAUAGAGGUGUAUACAUUAUCGAUGUGCGCAAGCCGGCUCGAACCCAGAACCCACCAGCCUGAGACCGAAGCCCGAGAAGCUCUAGAGUGCACCUAAAAUCAAUACAAUGGAUAUGGCGCUCUACAUGAGGACAUACUGGUUAAGCAAGCUACUUCUGGUUGGAAUGCUUCAAGUUUCACCUGAAAACUCAGAGUACAUUUAAUGUGCAAAGGUGUGAAUGUUUAUUGUGCAUAUGGAGUGCGUUUAUUAAAAAAGACUGUCCGUUUUAUUUGUAUGAAGUUGCCUCAUAGAUAAGUUUAUGAUUUGAUUACUUAUGUAAACAGCAGUAAUAGCAGACACAUUAAGCGUGUUUUUUCCAGAACAGCUCAUUGAUCUUUGAUUUAAGUGAAAACUUUUCUUAGUGGAACAUAAAAUGUGGAAAUGCAUGAGAUUUGCAUAAAUUAGGAUAUUGGUUAACAGGGUCUGCACGUAUUUACGAAUAUGUCCCGCUUCGCGUCUAGUUAAGUUUGAACACUAUUCAAGGCAUUCGCAAAUAAAGUAAAAAAAAUGUUAAACAAAGUAAUCAAUGUAUUUAUCCAAAUUUUCUGAUUCAAAAGUAGUUUUGGUUGCACUUUAAGAUAACGAUUACAAUUGGAACAUAUCAAAAUGUGUGAAUGCUUUUAAGGCAGUAUUACAUUUACCGUACGUCGGCAUAUUCCCUUGAUAUUGCUGUAACUCUGUUAUUAUGCAAGUAAGCACACUCGAUUGGCUUUUGUCACCAGUUUCGGAACCAUAAUUAGAUGAUUCUUCCAUUCCAACAAAUGGAAGACUAUCCUUAUAAGUUGACGUAUUAAUAUUUUUAAUAAGCACAUACUGGUAGCACAUCAGUUCCUGCUGAUGUAUAUGUACACAGUAUUAUUUGAAAACCAAUUGGACAUGUAUUUCGAAUAAGUUUUAAAAAAAACAUUGUACACAAUGGUAUGUCUUUGUAAGUUUCAAAUUCAUGAAGUUGCCGCAUAGUUUUAUUUCGCUACAUUAAGCGGUAGUGUUGUGUUCCUUGUCCAAAAGACCACAGUUAUCUAUGAAUCUAGUAAAGCAUUUGCAUAAUUCCACAAUACCCCAUCGGUAAUGGAACAUAUAUAAAAUGAAAUUAUGUCAAUCAACUGAUACAAUUGAUACACAUUUUACAUGGAUG